GGAAGCGUGGCUGAGUGGUUGAAGGCACCGGUCUUGAAAACCGGAGUCGCCGCAAGGCGACCGGAGGUUCGAAUCCUCCCGCUUCCG
Molecule: transfer RNA, 87 nt
Filed under: bacterium
Lineage: Bacteria
Description: tRNA-Ser
Rfam family: tRNA
About the family: Transfer RNA (tRNA) molecules are approximately 80 nucleotides in length. Their secondary structure includes four short double-helical elements and three loops (D, anti-codon, and T loops). Further hydrogen bonds mediate the characteristic L-shaped molecular structure. tRNAs have two regions of fundamental functional importance: the anti-codon, which is responsible for specific mRNA codon recognition, and the 3' end, to which the tRNAs corresponding amino acid is attached (by aminoacyl-tRNA synthetases). tRNAs cope with the degeneracy of the genetic code in two manners: having more than one tRNA (with a specific anti-codon) for a particular amino acid; and 'wobble' base-pairing, i.e. permitting non-standard base-pairing at the 3rd anti-codon position.
Source: RNAcentral